ACUCCUACGGGAGGCAGCAGUGGGGAAUAUUGCACAAUGGGCGCAAGCCUGAUGCAGCCAUGCCGCGUGUAUGAAGAAGGCCUUCGGGUUGUAAAGUACUUUCAGCGGGGAGGAAGGCGAUAAGGUUAAUAACCUUGUUGAUUGACGUUACCCGCAGAAGAAGCACCGGCUAACUCCGUGCCAGCAGCCGCGGUAAUACGGAGGGUGCAAGCGUUAAUCGGAAUUACUGGGCGUAAAGCGCACGCAGGCGGUCUGUCAAGUCGGAUGUGAAAUCCCCGGGCUCAACCUGGGAACUGCAUUCGAAACUGGCAGGCUAGAGUCUUGUAGAGGGGGGUAGAAUUCCAGGUGUAGCGGUGAAAUGCGUAGAGAUCUGGAGGAAUACCGGUGGCGAAGGCGGCCCCCUGGACAAAGACUGACGCUCAGGUGCGAAAGCGUGGGGAGCAAACAGGAUUAGAUACCCCUGUAGUCCCAUGA
Molecule: ribosomal RNA, 474 nt
Filed under: uncultured organism
Description: partial 16S ribosomal RNA
Rfam family: Bacterial small subunit ribosomal RNA
Source: RNAcentral